This 1599-nucleotide long non-coding RNA is filed under the name Homo sapiens (human). Its description in RNAcentral is "long non-coding RNA NONHSAT196008.1". The record is from RNAcentral. Lineage: Eukaryota; Metazoa; Chordata; Mammalia; Primates; Hominidae.
ACUGAAUCAGAAAUUCUGGGGGUGAAGUCCAUCAAUCUUUGGUUGAACAAAACACAACCAAUCUCACAUUUAUGGAAGUUUCAUAUAUGAAGUCAUAAAAGUCACUAGAAAUAGGCUUUUCAGUCACAGCACCCUCUGUGACAAACGUGUGGAGCACCGCACGACUUCUUCAACCAGCUGGUUUUUCUGGCAUUCGAAUAAAAGUAAAAAUAGAAAACAAAGAGGGAGAAGAAAAGUGACAAGCUGAAACCUGCGAAGAGAAAGAGGACAAGAACCUGUAUGUACCCAGUGGUGUGGAUAAAUCGUUAUGUAUCUGCCUACGCAUUGUCAGAAAUACCAGGCACCUACAAUGACAAAUUGUAAAUAGCCACGUCCAAUAAGUUUAUGCGUAACCUUACCUGACUUUUCCAUGGAACUCCAUUAUAUAACUAGAAGCAUUUCUCCACAAGCGGAAAAAAAAUGGAACCAGAAGAGAAACAAAGCACAUUUGAGCAUACAAUAAAUAAUGAUAUGAUGAAAAGUCAAAGGGAAAUAAAGGACAUUUGAAAGGAAUAAAAAAUCACAGAUGGGGAGAAAUGAACAAGUUGAUCUGGUCUUGAGGGAGGAGGAGGCACAGGAACACAGUAAAGGAACCUAUCUGAGGAGCUGCAGACAUGAACCAACAAAGGUCAAACCCCACCUGGAAAAUGAAUUGUGUCCAAAUGAGACCCCUUUAAUGACAGGAUUUGAAACAAUCUCAUUAUGAAACAAUUGCAGUCAAUGGGAAUCCUGAGUCUUCAAGGAAGUAAAAAGAAAAAAAAAUCUCUGUUAUCCUCACAUAUUUAAAGAUUCUCAUAUAAAAGCUUCUCCGAAGAGAACAGCUUGUCCUGUUUAGCUUCAAAGAAGAGAAUGAGGAGGAAGGUCGAGGGAAAAUUACAGAAAAGCAGACUUUGACUUGACACGUGGAAGGACUUCUCACUAAUGCUAUUCCCAAAUACAAUGAGUUGUUUCCGUGAUUGGAGGACUUGAAGAUGUAUAAGUUAUCCACAGGGAUGUUGCAGAGGAAAUUUGACCAUCAUAUGGGUGAAUUAACUGAUAUCUAUGAUCUUUAUUUCUCCUGAGAGUCCAUAAAAGUGAGAUAAUUGUUUGGAAAUUUGACGUAUACCUCUUGGAAUCUGAGGAGCAUGAAGAUCAGUGUAUGACUCUUGCCUGAAAUCAAGGAGAAAGGAAAACCCUGUCAAUGGCACAAAUUUCCAAAGUUUGGGAUGACAAGGACAUGUGAGUUUUUCGCCAGAAGAGCCUGAAGCAAUACUGCAAGUGGGUGCUUUGGUACUGCUUUGAAGCAUCUUUCCAGACUCUGCAGUAGCCAAGGCCUGUGACUCCAGUCCCUGAGAAAGUACCAUCAGGAGCAAUACGUAAGCUUUUCAGGGACAAAGAACCUUGUCCUCUUAAUCUGGAUUCACAAUUCACAAUUAUACCCCUAGCCUGCCCAACGCCUUUUUCUCAGUCUCUGAGAAGUAUUGACUCUCUUUUACCUAAGAGCAGGAGUCGAUGUACAGACAAGAUUGAGAGUAAGAAAACUGGCUGAUGAAAGAGGUAUAUGAGAAAAAUAUGUCUGAC